AGAGUUUGAUCAUGGCUCAGGACGAACGCUGGCGGCGUGCUUAACACAUGCAAGUCGAGCGAGGCCCAUUCUUCGGGGUGGUGCCCUAGCGGCGAACGGGUGAGUAACACGUGGGCAACCUGCCCUCAGCUCUGGGAUAACUCCAAGAAAUUGGUGCUAAUACCGGAUGUGACCGCUGACCGCAUGGUCUGGUGGUGGAAAGAUUCAUCGGCUGAGGAUGGGCCCGCGGCCUAUCAGCUUGUUGGUGGGGUGAUGGCCCACCAAGGCGACGACGGGUAGCCGGCCUGAGAGGGUGACCGGCCACACUGGGACUGAGACACGGCCCAGACUCCUACGGGAGGCAGCAGUGGGGAAUAUUGCGCAAUGGGCGAAAGCCUGACGCAGCGACGCCGCGUGAGGGAUGACGGCCUUCGGGUUGUAAACCUCUUUCAGCAGGGACGAAGCGCAAGUGACGGUACCUGCAGAAGAAGCACCGGCCAACUACGUGCCAGCAGCCGCGGUAAUACGUAGGGUGCAAGCGUUGUCCGGAAUUAUUGGGCGUAAAGAGCUCGUAGGCGGUCUGUCACGUCGGCUGUGAAAACCCGAGGCUCAACCUCGGGCCUGCAGUCGAUACGGGCAAACUAGAGUGUUGCAGGGGAGACUGGAAUUCCUGGUGUAGCGGUGAAAUGCGCAGAUAUCAGGAGGAACACCGGUGGCGAAGGCGGGUCUCUGGGCAACAACUGACGCUGAGGAGCGAAAGCGUGGGGAGCGAACAGGAUUAGAUACCCUAGUAGUCC
RNAcentral lists this ribosomal RNA (776 nucleotides) under uncultured bacterium. Its description in RNAcentral is "bacterial SSU rRNA". It matches the Rfam family "Bacterial small subunit ribosomal RNA", at positions 8 to 796 of the family's 1533-position model. The record is from RNAcentral.